Molecule: long non-coding RNA, 274 nt
Organism: Asparagus officinalis (garden asparagus)
Lineage: Eukaryota; Viridiplantae; Streptophyta; Magnoliopsida; Asparagales; Asparagaceae
Exons: 2
Source: RefSeq, a predicted model, not a curated record
CUUCUUCGUAUUCUCCUUCUUCUUCCUCUUCGUCGUCUUCAUCAUCGUCUCCCAAUGGAUCCGAAGGUCGAGAAGCGAAAUGGCGAUUUCGAGGAGGAUCCAUGGAUUGAUGUUGAUAAAGUGGGAGGAUGGAGUUGGAGUGAGGGUUUUUGAGGAGGAUCGAUGGAUUGAUGUUGAUAAAGUGGGAGGAUGGAGUUGGAGUGAGGGUUUUUGAGGGUUGAGAGGUGAAGAGAUCGAAGAGUUAGGGUUUGAGAUUUGAUGAGAGAAGGAGGAG